CCUACGGGUGGCAGCAGUGAGGAAUAUUCGUCAAUGGGCUUACGCCUGAACCAGCCAAGUCGCGUGAGGGAAGACUGCCCUCUGGGUUGUAAACCUCUUUUGUCAGGGAGCAACGCCGGCUACGUGUAGCCUGACUGACAGUCCCUGCAGACUAAGCAUCCGCUAACUCCGUGCCAGCAGCCGCGGUAAUACGGAGGAUGCGAGCGGUCUCCGGAUUUAGUGGGUUUAAAGGGUGCGUAGGCGGACUGCCAAGUCAGCGGUAAAAUCGCGGGGCUCAACCCCGCUCCGCCGUUGAAACUGGCGGUCUGGAGUGGGCGAGAAGUAAGCGGAAUGCGUGGUGUAGCGGUGAAAUGCAGAGAUAUCACGCAGAACUCCGAUUGCGAAGGCAGCAUACCGGGGCCCAACUGACGCUGAAGCACGAAAGCGUGGGUAUCGAACAGGAUUAGAUACCCGAGUAGUC
Molecule: ribosomal RNA, 460 nt
Filed under: uncultured bacterium
Lineage: Bacteria
Description: partial 16S ribosomal RNA
Rfam family: Bacterial small subunit ribosomal RNA
Source: RNAcentral